CCUACGGGGGGCAGCAGUGGGGAAUAUUGGACAAUGGGCGAAAGCCUGAUCCAGCCAUGCCGCGUGUGUGAAGAAGGCCUUCGGGUUGUAAAGCACUUUCAGUGGGGAAGAAAGCCUUGGGGCUAAUACCCUCGAGGAAGGACAUCACCCACAGAAGAAGCACCGGCUAACUCCGUGCCAGCAGCCGCGGUAAUACGGAGGGUGCGAGCGUUAAUCGGAAUUACUGGGCGUAAAGCGCGCGUAGGCGGUCUGAUAAGCCGGUUGUGAAAGCCCCGGGCUCAACCUGGGAACGGCAUCCGGAACUGUCAGGCUAGAGUGUAGGAGAGGAAGGUAGAAUUCCCGGUGUAGCGGUGAAAUGCGUAGAGAUCGGGAGGAACACCAGUGGCGAAGGCGGCCUUCUGGACUGACACUGACGCUGAGGUGCGAAAGCGUGGGUAGCAAACAGGAUUAGAUACCCUUGUAGUC
This 465-nucleotide ribosomal RNA is filed under the name Vreelandella stevensii. RNAcentral describes it as "partial 16S ribosomal RNA". It matches the Rfam family "Bacterial small subunit ribosomal RNA", at positions 338 to 795 of the family's 1533-position model. The record is from RNAcentral. Lineage: Bacteria; Pseudomonadati; Pseudomonadota; Gammaproteobacteria; Oceanospirillales; Halomonadaceae.